Molecule: long non-coding RNA, 1413 nt
Organism: Penaeus indicus
Lineage: Eukaryota; Metazoa; Arthropoda; Malacostraca; Decapoda; Penaeidae
Exons: 2
Source: RefSeq, a predicted model, not a curated record
CAGAGGUCCGUGAUACAGUCCAGCCUCCGCACCAGCAUGGCCUCAUUUGGCGGGAAGUUAUGUGCCGUCGCGACUGAUUUUUGUCUCCGAAGCAUGUUGAUCCUGAUUGAAGACCUUGUUCGAAUGAAACCAAGCCAAAAACAUUGUUGAAGAGUGAGGAGAGACUGAAAGCAAAGGAAAAAAAAAUGAAAUACAAAAUAAAGGCAAGAUCUACAUUCUUUUGCUUUAAGCCAAAAAUAUCUUGGGAUAAAAAAUAAAGACAAAACCUAUAAAACAUUCUUUCAUUUUAAGCCAUAAACUCAAAACAUCUUUGCAAAAUUACUCUUGACAUAAGGCAUGAAAAAAAUAAUAAUAAUGAAAUAAUAAUAAUAAUGAUAAUAAAUGAAAGAGAGAGAAAAAAGGGGUUUCUAGAAUGUUCCUUUAAGUGUCACUCUUCCACAGUUUGAUUGUUUUGUCAUUUUCUAAUGCUCCGGAAGCAAUGAUGUUCUGCGUCGGAUGGCAGGCUGUACAUAGUACAACAUCUGAAAUCAGAUCAAUUAAUUAAUAGAACAUACAAAUCAAUUUAUAUAAGCAAUUUGAAAAAGAUGAUACCUACAAUACUAGCAGAAAAAAAAAAAAAUCAUGUGUCAUACCUGAAUGGCCUUCUAAUUUCUGAACAAUUUCUUUGGUUUGUAAAUUCCAAAUAUAGAUAAGGUUAUCUUCUGAUCCAGAGACAAUCCACUGAAAGAGAGAGAAAUACAUAUUUAAACAUAUUGCUUUGUUAUUGACAUUGCCUCCCUGGCUGACAAAUAAACAACAAUAACAACCACCUUAAACUCUAAGGUACAUGUAAAUAUGCAGGAAUCACCUGCUAGAAACCAACGUGUUUGCUUUUACACUGCAUAUUCACAAAAAAGUUUUGGUUUGUGGUUUCAAUAAAGACUGGUAAAAUAGUAUGAAUCUUUAGUGCUACUUUUUAACUUCAAAUUUGGUAAGAGUAUCCAAUCCCCUCAGAGCAAAGUCCACAUGAUAGAUGGGCUCUAAGUUGUGAAAGUACUAUGAUAGUGACACAGUGACCUUUCUCAAUAUGGCAUGAUAUCCAUGCCAUUCAAAGCCAACAAGUUAGGCAUUUCUAUUACUAUCAUUAUUGUUUGUCUUUAUUAUUCCUACCAAUAAUACUGUUAUCUUUACCUAAGUUUAUAAUAAUAAUACACAGUCAUUUAUCAGGACUAUCCCUUCAACUAUUCAUAUCAUAGAGCAAAUGGUACUCACCUUUCCUCCUGUUACUGAGAAAUUGGCAAAUAUGCAAUACUUUUCAUUCUUGUGCCCUGUGUAGGUUUUGAGGCAUUUGCCUUUACUAUAGUCCCAGAGUUUUAAUGUGUUAUCUAAGGUUGCUGCCAAUAUAUAUUUCCCAUUAGGAGAGAACUUUACAAA